AACCCUUGGUGAGGGCAUAUUCGUAAAAGGUCCUUGUAUCUCUCCUAUGUAUCGUAGAGUGUUUCAAAAUCCAUCUGUACAAAAGAGGAGAUAUCAUUACGUAAUUU
Gossypium arboreum is the source of this 107-nucleotide non-coding RNA. NCBI's taxonomy places the organism in Eukaryota, Viridiplantae, Streptophyta, Magnoliopsida, Malvales, Malvaceae. The record is from Rfam.